AUACUAGCUGUUUGCAACAGACAGGAGUGUGAUUCAUCAUGAGUGAAAAUUAUGCUGCCACUGGGAGUGGCAAUGGCUUUAUAUCCUCUUGCUCCAGAAGUCCUGUCAUGAAGCUCAACAGUUGAGUUGACACCAUCGGUCCUGAGGAGAAGCAGGCAAUUGCAGCGCCACAAUGUGCUCUCUCAGUGCAGCCAAUGCCAAGUUCUGUCUCGACUUUUUCAGAGAGCUGAGCAAAAGGAAAAGAAAUGAAAACAUCUUCUUCUCUCCACUGAGUCUCUCAGCUGCCUUUGGUAUGGUUGUUCUUGGAGCCAGGGGCAGCACACUUGAAGAAAUUGAGAAGGUAUUUCAUUUCAGUGAAGUUUCAAGCAAUACAAGCCAGGGAAGCGGAUGCCCUUCUGAGAAGUGCGACGAAGCUGGAGGAGUCCAUUCCCAGUUCCAGGCUCUGUUGGCUGCAAUCAAUGAACCCAGACCAGGCUGCUCGCUCACCAUUGCCAACAGGCUUUUUGGAGAAAUUACUUAUCCAUUCUUCCAGCAAUACUUGGAUUCCACAAAGAAAUUCUAUCGAGCAGAACUGGAAGCAGUCAAUUUUAAAUACACUGAAGAAGAAGCCAGAGAAAAGAUUAAUGUCUGGGUGGAAAAUGAGACAAAAGGUAAAAUCAAAGACCUAUUUGCUGCCGGGUUUAUUGAUCCCUCCACUGUACUUGUCCUGGUCAAUGCUAUAUAUUUUAAAGGAAAGUGGGCAGUAGAAUUUAAGAAAGAAGACACUAAGGAAACAUAUUUCCAACUGAACAAGAAUGAGAAAAGGCCAGUGCAGAUGAUGUUUCAAGAAGGUUAUUUUAACAUGGCCAUCAUAGAGGAACCGAAAAUGAAAGUGCUAGAGCUCCCGUACUUUAAUAAUGAACUGAGCAUGUUCAUUCUUCUUCCUGAAGUUGUCUGUGAGGACUUUACUGGCCUAGAACAGGGAAUUAAGAGCACAGCUUUCGAACACAGCUGGGGUGGAGGAUGCUGCUCCCCGUGUCUGCUUCCUCCCGUGUGUUUUCUGCUCCCUCCCUUACGCUACCAUUACUAGUUGCCUAACUUGUUGAUGAGCAGUUCUCCAGGAUGUAAUUCAAGAGGAGAAUUUUUGGUAAGCAUUUCAUAGCCACAUUACAUUCAUAGAAGUUGGUAGCCACAUUCCAUUUUAUUGAAGGGUUUGGCUCUUCAGAACUUUUCCACAAGUGAUAUUCCUGGAUCCCAUGUUGCCCUGCUGAAGGCUGCAAUGAAAUAACGUAAUAGCUUUCAUUUUAAAAAUCACAGAAUGGUUGCGGUUAGAAGGGACCCCUGGAGACCAUGUAGUCCAGCCCACCUGCUAAAGCAGGUUCACGCAGAGCAGAUCACACAGGAAUGUGUCCAGGCGGGUCUGAAUGUCUCCAGAGAAGGAGACUCCACAACCUCUCUGGGCAGCCCGUUCCAGUGCUCUGGCACCCUCAAAGUAAAGAAGUUUCUUCUCAUAUUCAGAUGGAAACUCCCGUGCUUCAGUCUGUGCCCGUUGCCCCUCACCCUAUCAUUGGGCACCACUGAAAGGAGUCUGGUCCCAUCCUCUUGACACCCAACCUUGAGAUAUUUACAAAUAUUUAUGAGAUCACCUCUCAGUCUUCUCUUCUCCAGGCUGAACAGUCCCAGCUUUCUCAGUCUCUCUUCAUGAGAAAGUUGCUCUAGGACCCUAAUCAUCUUCGGAAGGAAUAAUAUUCUAAGGAAGAUAACCUUAUUUCUUGGCAUCUGCUUAAAUAAAACUGCUUUGCUGUACUAAUCUUACUUUAACAGAUCAGAAAUGAACAUACCCAAGAUAAGGCAAAUAGAUAGUUUCUGUUUCAUCUCGUGCUAAUUUUCCUGUCAAUGUGAAGUUGUGUAGUUAGAUUUCAGCAAGGCCUUGGACACUGUAUCCCACAGCACUCUCCUGGAGAAGCUGCAGCUCAUGGUAUGGAUGGGUGAACUCUGUGAUGGAUAAAGAACUGGCUGGAUGGCCGGGCCCAAAGAGUUGUGGCGAAUGGAGCCACAUCCAAUUGGCAGCCGGUCACGAGCAGCGUUCCCCAGGGCUCAGUAUUUUGGCCAGUUCUGUUGAAUACCUUUAUCAACAAUUGGCAUGAGGACACCACACUGUGAAAAAAAUUUAAAGCUACUGGAGAGUGUCUGGAAGAGAGCUACAAAGUUAGUGAAGAGUUUGGAAAGGAAAUUGUAUAAGGAGCAGCUAAAGUCACUCUUCUUGUUCAGCCUGGAGGAGACUGAGGGAAGACCUCAUGGGGCUACAGCUUCCUCACAAGGCAGGAGGAGGAGCAGGCGCUGGUCUCUUCUCUCUGGUGACCAACGACAGAACCGGAGGGAAUGGCAGGAGGAUGUGCCAGGGGAGGUUCAGGUUGGACAUGAGGAAAAGGUUCUUCACCCAAAGGGUGGUGGAGCACUGGGACAGGCUCCCCAGGGAAGUGUCAUGGCCUGAAGCCUGACAGUGUUCAAGAAGAGACUGGACAACACUCUCAUACAUAUGGUGUGAACUGUGGGGUUGUCCUGUGCAUGGACAGGAGGCGGACUCGAUGAUCCUUGUGGGUCCGUUCCAACUCAGGACUUUUUAUGAUUCUGUUCUAUGAUUCUGUAAAGAUCUGAGGGUCAUCUAACAGGCAUAAGGCAGAUUUUCCAAACUGUACAACAACAUAGACACAGGCUGGAGCUGCCUGCCUGGCACAAGCCUGCAUCGUGCUGAAAUCUGCACCCUUUACCUGCCCAACGGGGACCAUUCCUGGAUGGGUCUUGCCUGCAUCUCACCUCCCCAACCGUGGUCGCUCCAUUUAGCUUUCAGAGGGCUAGGACUCUCGAUCCAUCCUCAGCAAAAGAAAACACCGCACCAGCUAAUGGGGAUCUUCUGUAGUCACCAGGUUCCUCUUCAACAACUGCAAUAAGGAAAACCAAACCAAACCCAAUCAAACCUCAAACACAAAAAACCCAAACCAGUCAAACAAAAAAAACAACACACCGACUAGGCAAAUCAAAAAGCAAAACCAAACCCACUUACAAGCAUACUUUCUAUUAUAUCUGCUGCUGAACCUUGACUGGUCAUGAAGCUCAAUGAACUUCAGAUACAUGCCUCCGCUUCUCUAGCUCAGACAGCUCAAAAGCUGCAGACUACUGAAGGAACAAAAGAGCAGCAGAACACCAACCCGAAAGCAGCCCAGGAGCAGAAUGAGCUCCCUUAUGAGAAGCUGUGGCUCAUAUAACCUGGGCCCUACCCACCACCCUUACCACAGUCACCUGGACCCUCACUGGCAAUGACAAUACCUGCUCUUUUACUACAUCUGUUGCAUUUGCAAUGUGACUGAGUAGGGAGUUAAAUUUAAUUUUUCUAGGGCAUAGGUAGAACAAGAUAGAUAUCAUACUAAGCUGUGUAAAAAUGUAGCUCAUUAAAUGCAGUAACUAUAUUAUUGUUAGAAUUUUGUGCUGAAAUUUCCUGUAAAAAAAUAAAAUUAUAUUGCUUUACACUGAA
Molecule: RNA transcript, 3511 nt
Organism: Columba livia (rock pigeon)
Lineage: Eukaryota; Metazoa; Chordata; Aves; Columbiformes; Columbidae
Gene name: serpin B4-like
Exons: 9
Source: RefSeq, a predicted model, not a curated record